GUCUAACCACCGGGAUGUUCAUAACCCUUUGUUGUCCGACUCUGUUGCCUCCGGGGCGACCCUGCCUUCGGGCGGGGGCUCCGGGUGGACACUUCAAACUCUUGCGUAACUUUGCAGUCUGAGUAAACUUAAUUAAUAAAUUAAAACUUUUAACAACGGAUCUCUUGGUUCUGGCAUCGAUGAAGAACGCAGCGAAAUGCGAUAAGUAAUGUGAAUUGCAGAAUUCAGUGAAUCAUCGAAUCUUUGAACGCACAUUGCGCCCCCUGGUAUUCCGGGGGGCAUGCCUGUUCGAGCGUCAUUUCACCACUCAAGCCUCGCUUGGUAUUGGGCAACGCGGUCCGCCGCGUGCCUCAAAUCGACCGGCUGGGUCUUCUGUCCCCUAAGCGUUGUGGAAACUAUUCGCUAAAGGGUGUUCGGGAGGCUACGCCGUAAAACAACCCCAUUUCUAAGGUUGACCUCGGAUCAGGUAGGGAUA
This 475-nucleotide unclassified non-coding RNA is filed under the name Cladosporium coprophilum. RNAcentral describes it as "sequence contains 18S rRNA gene, ITS1, 5.8S rRNA gene, ITS2". The stretch from base 145 to 298 matches the Rfam family "5.8S ribosomal RNA". Lineage: Eukaryota; Fungi; Ascomycota; Dothideomycetes; Cladosporiales; Cladosporiaceae. The record is from RNAcentral.